Choloepus didactylus (southern two-toed sloth) is the source of this 213-nucleotide long non-coding RNA. RefSeq lists it as uncharacterized. The transcript is spliced from 4 exons. The record is from RefSeq and is a predicted model, not a curated record. Lineage: Eukaryota; Metazoa; Chordata; Mammalia; Pilosa; Megalonychidae.
GGCAAAGAUCUUAUCUUUUGCCUUGUCUCUAAUGGACACUGGUCUCCUCCCAGCCUCGCCAAUCUCAGUAAAAUGGCACUGCCAUCCACAAACCUGGUUUUAUGCAGUCCUGAAUUCCAGGAACCCUUCAAUUAUUGCUAUAGAUGGACAGCUGGACAAGGCAGCAAACUGGGAACUCCAAUGAAGAUGUUCAACGAACUCCUCAGGAAACAA